This 505-nucleotide ribosomal RNA is filed under the name uncultured bacterium. Its description in RNAcentral is "partial 16S ribosomal RNA". It matches the Rfam family "Bacterial small subunit ribosomal RNA", at positions 28 to 507 of the family's 1533-position model. The record is from RNAcentral.
GACGAACGCUGGCGGCGUGCCUAAUACAUGCAAGUAGAACGCACAGUUUAUACCGUAGCUUGCUACACCAUAAACUGUGAGUUGCGAACGGGUGAGUAACGCGUAGGUAACCUGCCUGGUAGCGGGGGAUAACUAUUGGAAACGAUAGCUAAUACCGCAUAAUAUUGAUUAUUGCAUGAUAAUUGAUUGAAAGAUGCUAUUGCAUCACUACCAGAUGGACCUACGUUGUAUUAGCUAGUAGGUGAGGUAACGGCUCACCUAGGCGACGAUACAUAGCCGACCUGAGAGGGUGAUCGGCCACACUGGGACUGAGACACGGCCCAGACUCCUACGGGAGGCAGCAGUAGGGAAUCUUCGGCAAUGGACGAAAGUCUGACCGAGCAACGCCGCGUGAGUGAAGAAGGUUUUCGGAUCGUAAAGCUCUGUUGUAAGAGAAGAACGGGUGUGAGAGUGGAAAGUUCACACUGUGACGGUAUCUUACCAGAAAGGGACGGCUAACUACGUG